CCUGUUUCCAUUCAUUCAUCUUCAUUCAGUGCUCUGUUGCACUCGACUGCUGCUGCUUUUGCAUUUGAUUUGUCUAGUGGCUGAUGUUUUGUCAUCUGUCAGAUGCAUCGCUGACGUCACCGAAACAUUAAUAUUCAUAAUGCUCGCAGCACAAGUCGGAACGAAUUUAACAGAAAGUCUAUCAGCCCCGGAGGAGGGAGGCCCAGAGGCCGGGUGGCUUAUCAAUCAUGUGACGAGGCAUGAAUGAAUUCCGCGUCUACCUUUCCAUCAUCGAAAAGUUUAGUAUUCAAACAGUGACAAAUCGCCCGAGGGGAGGCCUGAUAUUUGAGUCUAAAGAUAUCGUUUAUAAGACUAUAAGCUUUGGCAUAGAUCGGUUAAGAGAACUUUCACUGUACAAUUUUAUGCCUGGUCGCAUUGCAAUUUCUCGCGUCUGUGUGUAUAUAUAGAACGCUGUCUAUAUAGGUGGCAAACAAAAAUUCAACGUUUUUAUGCGUUUUCUUUACUGUUGCUAUUGUUGUAAAUAUUGCACAUAUUUUUCGAAUUUGUAGAUUAAAAGUGGGAGAAAGAUAGAAAUUUCACCAUACAUUCGGAGAACGAGAGACAGACACAGACACGUUGAGAGAGCGGGGAAUGUCUUGCCUCAGUUUGCACUUGAAAUAGUUUUGUGUAUACCUGUCUCUUUCGCUCACUAGAGAACUAUGUGUUGUUUGCUCUCUUUCCACGCUUCAGAUCAUAAAAACUGCUGUUGCUUUAGUUAAUUGUUGCAGCGCCACCAAUUAUCAUUUGGUGCUUAUCAAAACGCAUAUAAAACUAGCAACAAUUUCGAAAGGGCAACAUCAAGCGUGGAAUUGUGCAAUAAAUGUGGCAUGGAACGGUCUGGCGAGGUCUCACCCUGUCCGUAAUAAAUCUUCCAGGUAUAUGGCUCUUCCCUUUGUAAAAGGAUACUCCCUUAGACUUUCACAUCCCUACCCUUUCACCGCUUUAGCUUAAACCCCUACAAGGUGCCAACAAACCAGAGCGAAACCGCAAAAAGGUAAACCGAACCCUCCCCCUUAAGGAAACCACAAAACGUUGCAAUCAACUGGCACUCCAGGGGGGGGCAAAUAUGGGCUGGUCCCCACUACCACAAAGAGACAGAGAGAGGCCCUAUAAUGAAUGCAAUUAUGCAAAUUUCCACUCUCUGCAGCCAUAGAAGAGCGACAGGAAAAUCAAAUCACACGAUAACAAUCGAGAAAGGGGUUUCAAAAUCAUAAUGGAUAUUUAAUUUAACCAAA
Drosophila pseudoobscura is the source of this 1274-nucleotide long non-coding RNA. RefSeq lists it as uncharacterized. NCBI's taxonomy places the organism in Eukaryota, Metazoa, Arthropoda, Insecta, Diptera, Drosophilidae. The transcript has 3 exons. The record is from RefSeq and is a predicted model, not a curated record.